Non-coding RNA from Bacillus sp. FJAT-22058, 102 nucleotides. Lineage: Bacteria; Bacillati; Bacillota; Bacilli; Caryophanales; Bacillaceae. The record is from Rfam.
UGAAGUUACAUUAAUACAUCUCAUAUAAUCAUGGGGAUAUGGCCCAAAAGUUUCUACCUGAUGACCGUAAAUCAUCGGACUAUGAGAAAAGCAUCUGACUAU